UCUCUUGUGUCUCCUGCAUUGGCAGGCAGGUUCUUUACCACUAAUUCAGGUAUGGACACACAGAAUUCCUGGGUCUGAGAUAGACGAUGUUUUAAAACAUGAUCAUAGCUUUUCCGGUAAGCGGCCUGAGCUGACCCUUAAACAUGGUGCGCUAUUCACUCGACCCAGAAAACCCCACAAAAUCAUGCAAAUCAAGAGGUUCAAAUCUUCAUGUUCACUUUAAGAACACUCAUGAGACUGCCCAGGCCAUAAAGGGUAUGCAUAUCCGAAAAGCCACCAAGUAUCUGAAGGAUGUCACUUUAAAGAAGCAGUGUGUGCCAUUCCGUCGUUACAAUGGUGGAGUUGGUAGGUGUGCACAGGCCAAACAGUGGGGCUGGACGCAGGGUCGGUGGCCCAAAAAGAGUGCUGAAUUUUUACUACACAUGCUCAAAAAUGCAGAGAGUAAUGCUGAACUUAAGGGCUUAGAUGUAGAUUCUCUGGUCAUUGAGCACAUCCAGGUGAACAAAGCCCCCAAGAUGCGGCGCAGGACUUACAGAGCUCACGGUCGGAUCAACCCCUACAUGAGCUCUCCCUGCCACAUUGAGAUGAUCCUUACUGAAAAAGAACAGAUUGUUCCUAAACCAGAAGAGGAGGUUGCACAGAAGAAAAAGAUAUCCCAGAAGAAACGGAAGAAACAAAAACUUAUGGCCCGGGAAUAAAUGCUGCAGAAAAUAAAUGCAAAUAAAAGUAAAAAAAAAAAAAUGAUCAUAGUAAAGUCAUCUAGAAAGAGAAUGCAGAAGUAGAGAAGAGGACCAAGAAUAUAAGCUAAGGACUGUAAGAUAAGCGAUAUCUGUAAAAAGAAAGGAAGAUGGAGGAGAGGAUGAAAGGUUUAGAAAAGCAGCAGGAGAACCGGAAGUAGGACGAACAACCUGAAGAUGAUGUUACCGUGGGAUGUUGUCUAAAUAAAGCACCCUGAAGUUGGACAGCAUCCGCGUGGGCCUUAAUUUCUAUUCCCUCCCACCUCCACCCCAUAGCCAAGACCAAUGAGCUCCCAUCUGUUGACUAACCCUUUCCCACGCUGUGGGUCACAGUCACAGGCUGGGCAGCAGGAAUAACGGCAGUCAAGGCCUAGCAUCUGAGUCAAGGCUCAGCAUCACCUCUGUCUCAUUGUCCCGUUGCCUAAACUUGUUCUCUGUUUCCCCGAGCUGGAGUCAUGAUUCCCUGUUUUUGUUCAAGUUCCUCUACCAAAUCCCUGUGUUUUCUUCUCUUUCCUCAGUAACCCAGUUUCUGGAGCCUGAAUCCUUUCUAGUUUCCUAAGACAGAAGUCUUGUCCCUUGGAGUCCAGAUUAUCUAUCCCCUAAAAUUAGGAGUUGCCCUGUCUGUCUUUGCUCACGUAUCCUAUCGAUGCCUGGAGCUAUCUUGCCUUGCUUAUAAUUCCUCGGAGCAUCGGGGUGGUGUUAGGGGAGCUCUUGCCAACCAGCAACUGAUAAAGGGACUCUCAUAAUACUACAGUAUAUUUAUAGCUAUUAGUUCCUAAAACUAUUUGUUAAUUCACAAUGCCUUCCUGCAGUGCAUGCCUUCCACUACACUUGGCUGCCUACUGUGUGCCAGAAUUAUUCCAGGUGCUGAGGAUGCAAUGGUGAACAAAACGAUGUGCCUUCUGAAAACUGGGGAGGACGGAUAAACAGUUGAAGUACAGAGUGGGCCCCACGGAGAAAAAUCAAACUGCCUGUGAGGGAGAAGGGGGACUUUCCAGGUGGCGCAGUAGUCAAGAAUCCGCCUACCACUGCAGGAGACAAGAG
Non-coding RNA from Odocoileus virginianus texanus, 1781 nucleotides. Lineage: Eukaryota; Metazoa; Chordata; Mammalia; Artiodactyla; Cervidae. The record is from RefSeq and is a predicted model, not a curated record.